GAUGAGCGCUAGCGGCAGGCCUAAUACAUGCAAGUCGAGGGAGAAUGUUGGAUUCGUCUGGCAUGAAACCGGCACACGGGUGCGUAACACGUAUGCGACCUACCUUUAACUGGGGUAUAGCUCAGAGAAAUCUGAAUUAAUCCCCCAUAAGACUACGACAUGGCAUCAUGAUGUAGUUAAAGCUCCGGCGGUUAAGGAUGGGCAUGCGGUACAUUAGCUAGUUGGUGAGGUAAUGGCUCACCAAGGCUACGAUGUAUAGGGGGUCUGAGAGGAUGAUCCCCCACACUGGUACUGAGACACGGACCAGACUCCUACGGGAGGCAGCAGUAGGGAAUAUUGGUCAAUGGACGCAAGUCUGAACCAGCCAUGCCGCGUGAAGGAUGAAGGCCCUAUGGGUCGUAAACUUCUUUUAUUAGGGAAGAAAAAACGGGAUGCGUCCUGUACUGACGGUACUUAAUGAAUAAGGAUCGGCUAACUUCGUGCCAGCAGCCGCGGUAA
RNAcentral lists this ribosomal RNA (498 nucleotides) under uncultured bacterium. RNAcentral describes it as "partial 16S ribosomal RNA". It matches the Rfam family "Bacterial small subunit ribosomal RNA", at positions 28 to 523 of the family's 1533-position model. The record is from RNAcentral.